UUCGCAAUGCCCGAAAGGGUGACAAUGCGACGCCGCGUGUGCGAUGAAGGUUUUCGGAUUGUAAAGCACUGUCAGCUGGGAGGAAUCUCUGGAGGCUUAACAAGUCUUCAGGGUGACAGUACCAGCAGAGGAAGCCACGGCUAAAUCCGUGCCAGCAGCCGCGGUAAUACGGAUGGAGCGAGCGUUGUUCGGAUUCACUGGGCAUAAAGCGCAUGUAGGCGGCCUUGAAAGUCAGGUGUGAAAGCCCCCGGCUCACCCGGGGAACUGCAUUUGAUACUGCUUGGCUUGAGUGAAGAAGGGGAGAGUGGAACUGCUGGUGGAGCGGUAAAAUGCGUAGAUAUCAGCAGGAACGCCGGUGGAGAAGUCGACUCUCUGGUCUUUAACUGACGCUGAGAUGCGAAAGCUAGGGGAGCAAACGGGAUUAGAUACCCCGGUAGUCCUAGCCGUAAACGAUGGGCACUAAGUAGAGGGGUUUU
This 476-nucleotide ribosomal RNA is filed under the name uncultured anaerobic ammonium-oxidizing bacterium. RNAcentral describes it as "bacterial SSU rRNA". It matches the Rfam family "Bacterial small subunit ribosomal RNA", at positions 365 to 832 of the family's 1533-position model. The record is from RNAcentral.